CAUUGAUCUAUCAAUACCUACCCACCCCGGCUCUUAGUGUCGACCCCAAUUCGGUUAUGGUAAGUGCCUCUUCAUUGAGACACUUGCGCACUCUGUUUAUGAUCAACACGGAUGCCAAACCAUUGAAAUGUCGGCCCUUAUUGGAGGUUGGAAACGACCUUUGACGAGGUGUAGUUGUGGAGUAUGUAUGUGGACCCUAGUGCGGCCCUAAAAAGUACGUACGCAGUACACAUACAGAAACAUCGCUACAGGUUCUGUUUUCUUUUUGGCCCUUAACCGGAUCACCAUUAAGAUUAUGGGGUUGCCUUUUUUAACUAACUAACCUUUAAAACUAUUUAUCUAAAGUAUCUGUGCAUCGGGUCUUACCUCGUGCACAACCCCAAUCAAGACAACUCUCAACAACGGAUAUCUUGGCUCUCGCAACGAUGAAGAACGCAGCGAACUGCGAUACGUAAUGUGAAUUGCAGAAUUCCGUGAAUCAUCGAAUCUUUGAACGCAUAUUGCACUCGAGGCCUCGGCUAAGAGUAUGUCUGCCUCAGCGUCGAUGUAACCAUCACAUAAUACUCUUAUGUGGAUCUGACCGUCUCGGGGCCUUUUAAUAAGUCCCGGGUCGGUUUAAGUUUACAGAGGCAUUGAUGUCGUAUCAUCACGGGACCUAUUGAGCGCUUUGAUUGUUCUUAAUUGACCUUUCCUUGCACCCUUUAGGGCCACUUCUAGGUAGGCAUUUAGUUUAAGCUUCAUUGCUUAUACGAUGCAUACACAGUUGAUGGUUUACCCUUGAUGUUGAUACGGUUCAUACAUCAGUCGCCCUCAAACUACUGGAACAUUUGAUAUAACGUUGAUUUUUGAAGCAUUGAUUGAUACUUGCUCAUGUGGUUGCUUAAUUGCUUCCGCGUUGACUUGUUUGAUUUCUUUGACAAUUCUUGAGAUGUUAUAUCAAACCCUUUUACAUCAUUCGACCUGAGCUCAGGCA
RNAcentral lists this unclassified non-coding RNA (973 nucleotides) under Chlorococcum costatozygotum. Its description in RNAcentral is "sequence contains 18S rRNA gene, ITS1, 5.8S rRNA gene, ITS2, 28S rRNA gene". The stretch from base 391 to 544 matches the Rfam family "5.8S ribosomal RNA". The record is from RNAcentral. Lineage: Eukaryota; Viridiplantae; Chlorophyta; Chlorophyceae; Chlamydomonadales; Chlorococcaceae.